RNAcentral lists this ribosomal RNA (253 nucleotides) under uncultured bacterium. RNAcentral describes it as "partial 16S ribosomal RNA". It matches the Rfam family "Bacterial small subunit ribosomal RNA", at positions 524 to 776 of the family's 1533-position model. The record is from RNAcentral.
UACGGGGGGGGCAAGCGUUGUUCGGAAUUACUGGGCGUAAAGGGCUCGUAGGUGGCCAACUAAGUCAUACGUGAAAUCCCUCGGCUUAACCGCGGGCUUGCGGUUGAUACGGGCGGGCUAGAGUUCGGUAGGGGAGACUGGAAUUCCUGGUGUAGCGGUGAAAUGCGCAGAUAUCAGGAGGAACACCGGUGGCGAAGGCGGCAUCCUGGACCGGCAUUGACGCUGAGGAGCGAAAGCCAGGGGAGCAAACGGG